UCUAAUAAUUUGUUGACCGUUAGGUACUAUUGAGACUGAGUUUUGACACUGCAUAACAAUCAACAAAACUUUGAGUUAGUUCCUACCAAGUUUGAAUUUUGAUGAACAGAAUCUUCCAUAACUCUAAUAGUUAGAACUUUUCAGGUUUUAUGGGAGAUUUUUUGGAAGACUACUAAUAAUAUAAAGAUCAUAAUUAAGUCCACCCAUUCUCAUUCGGAGUGUACCAUGUCAGACUUGAUCCUAUACGAGAGGGUGCUAAAACGUGUCAAUCAUUUGGUCAAGAGAUAUACUUUCCUUUGUUUUAGCCUUUACAGAACAGGUAACAGAAGGAAGUUGAAGUGCUUCUUUCGGAUACUGUAGGUCAUCUUGAUGAUGAUCUUUUGUAUUGGUCCCAAUUGUCUUCUUUGCAGGGAAAGCCACGGCCGUUUGCUGAGCGGAAGUUUUAUAUAGCAUUUCCUUUAUUUCGUGGCACAUCAAUUUAUGCAGAUCUGACCAAGUAAUCUCAGCAUGGAAAAUCAUCAAAGAGAGGGGCAACAAUUUUUAACUUCUUCACAAUGAGCAAAUGGAAACCAUAGAGCUAGCCAAUGAAGUGGAAUCAAUGACCGGUGCUUUGCGACAAGAUCAAGCUUAUGACCAAAGUAUACCACCUCCUAAAAGAGUGAGUCGAAAAGCACAAUGGCAGGCUUCAAUGAGUUCAAAAGAACGAGAUAAUUAUUUGACAUGACGACGGGCCAAUUAUCAUUGUCAUCGCGAACAGACAUCAAAUUGUGAAGAUAAUAUCCAUGUUCGAAAGAGAAUGCAUUUAAGCCAUAUAUGGCAGAUGAGUGAUAGCGGAGCUAAUCAGAACGCUACGAACGCUACAAACAGCGAUGAUGACGUAGCAGUCAAUGAAGGAACCUCUGAAAAUGUCGUUCCUCAAAAUGACAUGUCUUAUAAUAGCGGGGUUGCGCAAGUAUGUCGUAGACAGAGACGACGCAAACCUCAUAAUUGUGCCCAAAAUUUUCAUGAAAAUAUUGGAAUAAAAAAGUAUCAUUUGCCACCACCAAAGACAUGUCCAUAUUGUCAUGCCCGUCUGUUUCAUCAUGAAACCAAAGAUAUGUGUUGCUUAAAUGGGAAAACUGUCAUUCCUCCAAUUCAAUCUCCUCCAGAAAUGGUUGAGUUAUUUUCUGCUGAAACUCCAC
Long non-coding RNA from Rosa chinensis, 1181 nucleotides. RefSeq lists it as uncharacterized. The transcript is spliced from 6 exons. The record is from RefSeq and is a predicted model, not a curated record. NCBI's taxonomy places the organism in Eukaryota, Viridiplantae, Streptophyta, Magnoliopsida, Rosales, Rosaceae.